UACAGAGGGUGCAAGCGUUAAUCGGAAUUACUGGGCGUAAAGCGUGCGUAGUCGGUCAUCCAAGUCGGGUGUGAAAGCCCCGGGCUCAACCUGGGAAUUGCAUUCGAUACUGUUUGGCUAGAGUUCGGCAGAGGGAAGCGGAAUUUCCGGUGUAGCGGUGAAAUGCGUAGAUAUCGGAAGGAACAUCAGUGGCGAAAGCGGCUUCCUGGACCAGAACUGACGAUCAGGCACGAAAGCGUGGGGAGCAAACAGG
This 253-nucleotide ribosomal RNA is filed under the name uncultured bacterium. RNAcentral's name for it is "partial 16S ribosomal RNA". It matches the Rfam family "Bacterial small subunit ribosomal RNA", at positions 524 to 776 of the family's 1533-position model. The record is from RNAcentral.